This is a long non-coding RNA of Sander lucioperca (pikeperch), 273 nucleotides long. RefSeq lists it as uncharacterized. The record is from RefSeq and is a predicted model, not a curated record. The transcript has 3 exons. Lineage: Eukaryota; Metazoa; Chordata; Actinopteri; Perciformes; Percidae.
GUUUUAUGACUUUUCUCUGUGUUUGUUAUGCGUGUCUCUGACAGACGUUGUGUCUCUGUGUCUCUGUCUCUGCAGAUCAAACCCUCCCAGCACAGCUGUGAACCUGCAGACACACCUGUCCGACCGUAUAUGGACUUCCCUCUGUAGGCUGUUACAUGAUCACGUGUGUUUACAUCUCGCAGCGUUACAUAACUUCGUCCUUUUCCUUCUGUGCUGGGAAACGACACUGUGCAAUCUCUCUGCCCGUCUCCCUCAGGUGUGUUUCUCCAGAUG